Molecule: transfer RNA, 57 nt
Filed under: Atherinella panamensis (Panama silverside)
Lineage: Eukaryota; Metazoa; Chordata; Actinopteri; Atheriniformes; Atherinopsidae
Description: tRNA-Val
Source: RNAcentral
CUGAAAACCAACAGCUAGCCCAUCUUCUAAACCCAACACAUAAAUAUUACUAACCCC